This is a non-coding RNA of Oncorhynchus keta (chum salmon), 68 nucleotides long. Lineage: Eukaryota; Metazoa; Chordata; Actinopteri; Salmoniformes; Salmonidae. The record is from the annotation of a RefSeq genome assembly.
GUGGCUUAGUCGGUAGAGCAUGGCACUCCCAAUGCCAGGGUUGUGGGUUCAAUUCCCACGGGGGAUCA